UAUUUCAACUCUUCUCAGUGAGCUUUUCAGGAGGCCUCAUUUUACAAUUGAAAUUCAUUUUCAGUAAAAUUAAAGCCAAAUUAAAAGAAAUAUUUUGAUGGUUAAAAAAAUAAUCCAAUCUAAAGAUCUAAAGUUACUCUUUUGCAAGCUUUCAGUGUUUAAGCAUGCUCAGUAAUAUACUUUUUGUUCUGAUUUUGGAUGGAUAUUAUUGUUUAGAAAUUUCAAUAUUUUUGAUGGAAGAGGAAAUAAUUUUCAACUGGAUUCUGAUUGCUCUUUUGGAUGGAAUUAGCUAAAUCCUACAGAAUGCCCAUCUCUAAGAAUGCCCAUUUGUAAGACACAAAACAGGAUAAUUAUAUAUUUUAAACUGAAGAAAGUUGAUCAAAUCUUGACUAAUUCAUGAAGAUGAUGAUGCUUUGAUAGCGUCGGGAUUUUAGCAUAUCUCUAAAUAAAAUGCUCUCCUACUCUUUUUAAGCCAUUAAGAUGUCUUUAUAUGCCCGUAUAAUUAUGCUUAGAAAUCAGGUUCUUUCUGUUUCUCCCAGAUGUUGCUUGUUUGGUCAGUGCAAAGGGGAAAAUAAGCUUAAGAGCGUUCUUGUCCUUCAGCAGCAAGGUGACAGCGGCACUCUGAGCUGCAAGAAGACACUUGGUGCAGCCACUUGCUGGAGAAGCUGUGUCUUUCCAGCUUUUGUUCACGUGGAAGCUGAACUCACAGGCUCUGGCAGAGAUACCUAGGAAUGAAAAUUCAUGUGUGAAGAUGAUGAAGGCUGGGAGCACCGUGGCUACAGACCCAGUCUACAGCUGCACUAACCACAUCACUGGGUUAAGCCAAGUGAAGCCAGUGGUUUUACACCAAGGGAUGCAACGACUCAGUUUCUCCGUCCAUCCUCAUGGUCCAUCCUCUGUCUCUAGUCUUUUAGUGCCUUCCAGUUCGUCUAUCCUAAUGUUCACAUAAAAAGAAAAACGUAAGCAAAGAUAUGACUUAUUCCAGGCUGUAGUUUUUAUACAUUAGAUCCUUCCCUAUUCCAGUAAGGGUGGCACCAUGAAAUAAAUGCUCAAAAAGAUUUUCUCACUGAGUUAACAACUACUUUAAGUAAGGAUUUGUAAGAUUUAAGGCUUGUGCCAUUCUUUACAAAGGAAAUUCAGUUCACAUAGCUUACACUGCAUGCAUGAUUAUGAUCUUAGACUUCGACUGCAUGCGCUUCAUUUUGUCACAUAUGGGCCAGGCUGAAAAAAUUAAUGAAUACCCAAUAUUAUCCUAGCAAAUUGCAAGCAUGUUUGUUUUCACAUUCAAUUUUAAUUAGGCCAAGACUACCAUGAAUCAUUUGAAAGGUUCUUGGGACCCAUCUUAAUGACAUCCUUUUGUUUGUUUUUUCCAUGCAAACUUUAGCUGGUGUACUCAUGGAAAAGAUAAUUAGCAAUGAACAAAUAUAGUCUUCAGAAAGCAAAGUUGUCUUUGUUACUUAGUAAAACAAACAAACAAACGGGGCUCAUUUAGGCAUGGCAAUUUGCUAGAUAAUAGGUAUGUCAUUGAACAACUGAAGCGGAAUGGUUGGUAUCUCUCUUUUUGAUUCCUUACUCAGGUGUGACAUAAGGAUUUAGACCAAAAGAAAAGACAGGAGGGACUCCUUCCCAGUUGUAAAAGUGCCUGAUGAAAGAAGGCUUAUUUCCCACCUGCGGUUGCUAAAAGGGAAGCCACGACCCAGCGCUGGUACCAGGGCUGUCUCCAUCCCACAGUGGGUACACGCUGUCCCCUGCCUGUCAGCCCAGAGGAAUGUCAUCAGCCAUUGCCCAACACUCAAUUAGUUUUUUAAACCAGAAUUUCUUCUAUCCACAUUGCUAAAGUGUUCAUAGUCAUGACAUACAGCGAUGCUUUGCAUUUAAAAAGUGUGCAUGUAGGAAUAAGUGAGCUGAAACUGUUUGGAGUGGUCGGCUGCCUCCACCGUGUCCCCCUCCAUAGUCAUUGCCCCAUGCACUGAAGUCAGCCACCAGAUUAUCUUUCGCUCCAGUACUUGUGGUAAUGCUUUAUUUCCAUCCUAAAACACCAAAGUAUGGACUUUCUUCAUCUUCUGUUAGACACUUUACAGAAUUCACAGAACUUAGGCAUUUUUCUAAGGCUGUACCAGGUGUUGCAUUUCCACCCAGCAGAGCACAGUCCUGCGUCCUUCUGCUUUAAGAUGCUGCUCUUUAGUAAUCAAUUAAUAAUUUCAUGCUAGCAUGGUUACUGUAUCUUUUCCGAGUUCAUUUACAAGCUGGACUAUUACCAUGGUAAAAGCUAAACAAUUCCCUGUAAACUGCUUCACCCACAGAUCAGUUUUAUUCUUCUCAAUUAAUCUUGAGCGCAGGGCCAUCCGGAUGGCUCUCCCUCCUUGUUUGCUGCUGAUGCACUGUACUGUUUUACAGGCUAACUCCUCUCAUUAAUUCUGCCUCGUUGUUUUUGCCAGCGUGACAUGCUAGAAUGCAGACAGUGCCAAAGUUUGCAGAAAAAUUUCCAUGAGGCUGAGGGGUAUUCUGCAGGGAGGAGAAGUAGGAAACGUGACAGAAGUCACCUUUUAUUAGUGCCAGUCUUGACUCCAACGUAAGGAAACGGUGCAGUAAGUGACAGCUUCUUUAGUUUCUGUUUUUUUCUGCAAGAGUAGCUCCUUUGUCAGCCAGUCAAAGUGAGUUUCAGGGAAAUUUAUAGAAACAUGUUAACUCUUGGAGGGCUACAAAUACCCUGUGAGGUACACGAAAAACCUUUCUCUUCUGAGAUUUUGCACCGCAAUAGAUGUCCUCUGUGUUAUGUAUGCCGCACAUCUAAUACACCAGCCCUUUUCUUCAGGCAUCGAAUCAGCCCUUCAAGAGCAAUUCUGAUGGAGCAUCCUCCAUGGCACAAGUUGAUCAUCUGUGCAGGGUGGAUCCUUCCAACUUGUUCAUAAUCAGAUAGGAGCCUUGGUGGGUUGGGUGGGAGGCCUCCUCCUAAUCCCACUGAAGUCAGAGGAAAGACUCCUAUUAACAGGCUUUGGAUCUGUGCCUGUGGGAAGCUCUUUUAUAAACCCCAGCUUGCCUCGAGCAGCCUAAUGCCUCCAGUUCGAACUAGCAGGGCAUGCUGUAAUAUAAAGCCAUUCUGUACUUCAGUUUUUCUAGGAUUAUUUGCAGGGAUAAGGUGGCCCUAUUGAGCUAAAAGUUGGGAUCUUGGAGACUGGGAGAAGAAACUGAUGGUAUGUCUGAGUACAGCUGGGAUCAAGAAGGUUACAACUCUCUUGCUUCUAGCACCAAAAUCUUUUUGCAACAUCAUCUCCCAGUCUUUUAACAAAUGCAGUCUUAUGCCCGUCCACAAUGCUGCCGUUGUUUGACCACGUAGCACUCUCUUGUACAGUCUGCUUACUUUCUCUUCCAAUAUAAAUCAGAUCCUCACUCACAGCAUCUACCAUGACUAACUAUUUCCCUACUUACCACCUUCUAUUCAGACUCUUUGUGCUGAAUAUUUAUACUUACAGCGUAAACUUCUGGGGAAGAGACCAUUUUGUGUUGUGUUUAUGCAUCAGUUGUCUCCUGGUCCAACAUAAUGACAACCAACAUUAAUAAUAAAAUAAACCAUGUUG
Anas platyrhynchos (mallard) is the source of this 3578-nucleotide long non-coding RNA. RefSeq lists it as uncharacterized. The record is from RefSeq and is a predicted model, not a curated record. Lineage: Eukaryota; Metazoa; Chordata; Aves; Anseriformes; Anatidae.